This 216-nucleotide long non-coding RNA is filed under the name Elaeis guineensis (African oil palm). Its description in RNAcentral is "long non-coding RNA (EGUI_LNC034356)". Lineage: Eukaryota; Viridiplantae; Streptophyta; Magnoliopsida; Arecales; Arecaceae. The record is from RNAcentral.
AAGUUAUAGAAGAAUAUCUGCAGCGCUUAAUCCAAAUUUCAGCAUAACCUCCACCAAGCGCCCAAGUGUUCGCCCUCCAACGGUGAUCCACACAGGGCUAUGAUCAGAAAACCAACUCUUUGAGAAGAUUUCAUCUCCAAAAUUCUCACUCUAAGAAUUUUCUUGAACACCAGGACCUCAAGACCCUUUUCCUCUUCUCCUAGCCUUCCUAUCCCU